UAUGAGUUUUUGGUUUUUAACGAUGCUGUGUAGAACCAAACUUUGCGUUUCAUGUUAUGUCUGAAUCGUUUCCUUCUUCAACAGUUUAACAUAUCUUUCUCUCUCUCUCUCUCCGCCGUCUCCUUCCUCUCAACUUUCGAACUCCCCUAUGUCUUCAAGUUUGUCUCUUCCUUACCUUCUAUUCAAUGUUUCUAUCUUAAUCUAUACAAUGAAUCUUCAGUUUAUAUUUAAAGCAUUAACUCCCACAAACUCUCCGCCUCCCACUUUUACAAUCAAAACAUUAGCUUUGUACGUAUAUAAUCUGAAAAACACCUCAAACACUAUAAAUAGGAGAGCGUUGAGUUUGGAAUCAAACAUCACCAACACGCUCUCUCAGUUUAAUUUCUCUCAAAAACCUAAAUCUCUCCUUCAAAAUAUCUUGGUAUGAUGCUGUUGUUGGUCGCCUUCUCCUCCUUUUCAUGGACUCGCGAAUCAUCAAAAAAAAAUGAGAAUUUGUAGAGUCACUCUCCUUCUCCUUGCUGAAAAGAACUCAGUGAUCCACAAAUCCAUUCCUGCUAUUGAUGACAUUUUGAACAAUGCUUCGGAAGUUUGACAUCUUCAAGCUCUAGCAAACACGAACUCAGAACUUCCUGGUUUUCCAUUUACGUUCACUAUAGUAAUUUUAUAUAUGAUUUUGUUAUUAGCCAUGAAGCUCUUUAUCAAAUGGCAGAUCUUGGCCAAAUUGGCCAAAUUCGUCAUGUGCAAGGUUCUGACUUUAAGAAUGGUGAAGCAAUGACUAUACUUGUGGUCUAUUUCCUCACUAGGUUUUUGGCAUAUAUGUGGAAGAGAGUCAGAGUGAAAGAGCGAUAAUUGUUUCCAAAUUUGAGGAAAUUUCAAACGGCGAUCAGAGGAAGAGUUUAUAAAAGCUUGGUCUGGAAUCGAGGAAUGAUAUGGUGGGUACAGAUUUUGAUCAACUUUUAAAGCAUCAGAUUUGGAUUUGCAUCAUGUAACCAUCAUGACAUUUUUCAUGUAUGGUAACUCAAUUCUUUAUAAUUUGUGGUUGUCUCUAAAUUUGGAUUACACUGUGUUUCUCGCGAUAAAAAAGCAUAACACAUAUAUUAA
This is a long non-coding RNA of Raphanus sativus (radish), 1101 nucleotides long. RefSeq lists it as uncharacterized. The transcript is spliced from 2 exons. The record is from RefSeq and is a predicted model, not a curated record. Lineage: Eukaryota; Viridiplantae; Streptophyta; Magnoliopsida; Brassicales; Brassicaceae.